This 254-nucleotide ribosomal RNA is filed under the name uncultured bacterium. RNAcentral describes it as "partial 16S ribosomal RNA". It matches the Rfam family "Bacterial small subunit ribosomal RNA", at positions 524 to 776 of the family's 1533-position model. The record is from RNAcentral.
UACGUAGGUGGCAAGCGUUGUCCGGAAUUAUUGGGCGUAAAGCGCGCGCAGGUGGUUCUUUAAGUCUGAUGUGAAAGCCCACGGCUCAACCGUGGAGGGUCAUUGGAAACUGGGGAACUUGAGUGCAGAAGAGGAAAGUGGAAUUCCAAGUGUAGCGGUGAAAUGCGUAGAGAUUUGGGAGGAACACCAGUGGCGAAGGCGACUUUCUGGUCUGUAACUGACACUGAGGCGCGAAAGCGUGGGGAGCAAACAGG